RNAcentral lists this ribosomal RNA (422 nucleotides) under uncultured archaeon. Its description in RNAcentral is "partial 16S ribosomal RNA". It matches the Rfam family "Archaeal small subunit ribosomal RNA", at positions 323 to 746 of the family's 1478-position model. The record is from RNAcentral.
CUACGGGGCGCACCAGGCGAGAAAACUUUGCAAUGUGCGAAAGCACGACAAGGUUAAUCCGAGUGGUUUCUGCUAAAGGAACCUUUUGUUAGUCCUAGAAACACUGAUGAAUAAGGGGUGGGCAAGUUCUGGUGUCAGCCGCCGCGGUAAAACCAGCACCUCAAGUGGUCAGGAUGAUUAUUGGGCCUAAAGCAUCCGUAGCCGGCUUUGUAAGUUUUCGGUUAAAUCCAUACGCUCAACGUAUGGGCUGCCGGGAAUACUGCAAAGCUAGGGAGUGGGAGAGGUAGACGGUACUCGGUAGGAAGGGGUAAAAUCCUUUGAUCUAUUGAUGACCACCUGUGGCGAAGGCGGUCUACCAGAACACGUCCGACGGUGAGGGAUGAAAGCUGGGGGAGCAAACCGGAUUAGAUACCUCAGUAGUC